Molecule: ribosomal RNA, 405 nt
Filed under: uncultured bacterium
Lineage: Bacteria
Description: partial 16S ribosomal RNA
Rfam family: Bacterial small subunit ribosomal RNA
Source: RNAcentral
GACGAACGCUGGCGGCGUGCUUAACACAUGCAAGUCGAGCGGAGCGGCGAACGGGUGAGUAACGCGUGAGUAACUGCCCCCCUCUCUGGGAUAACAGUUGGAAAAGGAUGCUUAUAUCGGAUAGUGGGGGGGGACUCGCGUCCUAUCAGCUUGUUGGUGGGGUAGUGGCUUACCAAGGGGGCGACGGGUAGCCGGCCUGCGAGGGCGACCGGCCACAUUGGGCUGAGAUACGGCCCAAACUCCUACGGGAGGCAGCAGUGGGGAAUAUUGCACAAUGGGGGAAACCCGGAUGCAGCAACGCCGCGGGCGGGAUGACGGCCUUCGGGUUGUAAACCGCUUUCAGCCAUGACGCGGUAGUGGCAGAAGAAGCACCGGCUAACUACGUGCCAGCCGCCGCGGUAAUAC